GAGUUUGAUCUUGGCUCAGAACGAACGCUGGCGGCAGGCCUAACACAUGCAAGUCGAGCGGCAGCGCGGGGCAACCUGGCGGCGAGCGGCGGACGGGUGAGUAACGCGUAGGAAUCUACCCAGUAGCGGGGGAUAGCCCGGGGAAACUCGGAUUAAUACCGCAUACGCCCUAAGGGGAAAGCAGGGGAUCUUCGGACCUUGCACUAUUGGCAGAGCCUGCGUUGGAUUAGCUAGUUGGUGGGUAAAGGCCUACCAAGGCAACGAUCCAUAACUGGUCUGAGAGGAUGAUCAGUCACACCGGAACUGAGACACGGUCCGGACUCCUACGGGAGGCAGCAGUGGGGAAUAUUGGACAAUGGGGGCAACCCUGAUCCAGCCAUGCCGCGUGUGUGAAGAAGGCCUCGGUUGUAAG
Molecule: ribosomal RNA, 412 nt
Filed under: uncultured Gammaproteobacteria bacterium
Lineage: Bacteria; Pseudomonadati; Pseudomonadota; Gammaproteobacteria
Description: bacterial SSU rRNA
Rfam family: Bacterial small subunit ribosomal RNA
Source: RNAcentral